This 708-nucleotide ribosomal RNA is filed under the name uncultured bacterium. Its description in RNAcentral is "bacterial SSU rRNA". It matches the Rfam family "Bacterial small subunit ribosomal RNA", at positions 28 to 720 of the family's 1533-position model. The record is from RNAcentral.
GACGAACGCUGGCGGCGUGCUUAACACAUGCAAGUCGAACGGAGAUUCAGCAAUGGAUCUUAGUGGCGAACGGGUGAGUAACGCGUAGGCAAUCUGCCUUCUAGAUGGGGACAACAUCCCGAAAGGGGUGCUAAUACCGAAUGUCGUAGCGACUUCGCAUGAAGUUGUUACUAAAGGUGGCCUCUGAAUAUGCUACCGCUAGAAGAUGAGCCUGCGUCUGAUUAGCUAGUUGGAGGGGUAACGGCCCACCAAGGCUUCGAUCAGUAGCCGGUCUGAGAGGAUGAACGGCCACACUGGGACUGAGACACGGCCCAGACUCCUACGGGAGGCAGCAGUGGGGAAUCUUCCGCAAUGGACGAAAGUCUGACGGAGCAACGCCGCGUGAGUGAAGAAGGUUUUCGGAUCGUAAAGCUCUUUCGUCAGGGACGAAUGUGUUUCUUGUAAAUAAUGAGAGACAGUGACGGUACCCGAAUAAGAAGCCACGGCUAACUACGUGCCAGCAGCCGCGGUAAUACGUAGGCGGCAAGCGUUGUCCGGAAUUAUUGGGCGUAAAGCGCGCGCAGGCGGGAUAUCAAGUCUGUCUUAAAAGUGUGAGGCUCAACCUCGUGAGGGGACAGAAACUGGUAUUCUUGAGUGUCGGAGAGGAAAGUGGAAUUCCAAGUGUAGCGGUGAAAUGCGUAGAGAUUUGGAAGAACACCAGUGGCGAAG